RNAcentral lists this non-coding RNA (32 nucleotides) under Rattus norvegicus (Norway rat). Lineage: Eukaryota; Metazoa; Chordata; Mammalia; Rodentia; Muridae. The record is from RNAcentral.
UACAACAGUGAAAUAUAAGCCUACUCCCAAGA